GCCAACGUGACCGAGUGGUAAAGGUGCUUGUCUUGAAAACAAGUUGUGCGAAAGUGCUUGUGGGUUCGAAUCCUACCGUUGGCG
RNAcentral lists this transfer RNA (84 nucleotides) under Bacteriophage sp. Its description in RNAcentral is "tRNA-Ser". It matches the Rfam family "tRNA". Rfam says of the family: Transfer RNA (tRNA) molecules are approximately 80 nucleotides in length. Their secondary structure includes four short double-helical elements and three loops (D, anti-codon, and T loops). Further hydrogen bonds mediate the characteristic L-shaped molecular structure. tRNAs have two regions of fundamental functional importance: the anti-codon, which is responsible for specific mRNA codon recognition, and the 3' end, to which the tRNAs corresponding amino acid is attached (by aminoacyl-tRNA synthetases). tRNAs cope with the degeneracy of the genetic code in two manners: having more than one tRNA (with a specific anti-codon) for a particular amino acid; and 'wobble' base-pairing, i.e. permitting non-standard base-pairing at the 3rd anti-codon position. The record is from RNAcentral. RNAcentral also lists the same sequence under 1 other name.